This 70-nucleotide microRNA precursor is filed under the name Murid gammaherpesvirus 4 (Murine herpesvirus 68). Its description in RNAcentral is "microRNA mghv-mir-M1 precursor (mghv-mir-M1-12)". Its record names the gene mghv-mir-M1-12. The record is from miRBase by way of RNAcentral. Lineage: Duplodnaviria; Heunggongvirae; Peploviricota; Herviviricetes; Herpesvirales; Orthoherpesviridae.
GUAAGGGUACUCUCAUCACCAAUGUAAAUUAAUAUGUAGCAAACUUUGGUGUGGGAGUCCUACCCCUUUU